UAUGUGAUCGUCUCUCGCAUAUCAAUAGCGGAGGAAAAGAAACCAACCGGGAUUGCCUCAGUAACGGCGAGUGAAGCGGCAAGAGCUCAAAUUUGAAAUCUGGCCCCUCCGGGGUCCGAGUUGUAAUUUGCAGAGGAUGCUUCGGGUGCGGCCCCUGUCUAAGUGCCCUGGAACGGGCCGUCAGAGAGGGUGAGAAUCCCGUCUUGGGCAGGGUGCCCGUGCCCGUGUGAAGCUCCUUCGACGAGUCGAGUUGUUUGGGAAUGCAGUCCAAAAUGGGUGGUAAAUUUCAUCUAAAGCUAAAUAUUGGCGAGAGACCGAUAGCGAACAAGUACCGUGAGGGAAAGAUGAAAAGAACUUUGAAAAGAGAGUUAAACAGUACGUGAAAUUGUCAAACGGGAAGCGUUUGACACCAGUGUUGUUUUUCUGAAAAUCAAUUAAAGAACUGUUUAUGCUAAGCUGUUUAGACUUUAUCAGCUAUCUGUUUAGUUUUGAGCCUUUCUUUAAUGCACUUUUCAGUUAACAAGUCAACAUCAAUUUCUUUUGCUGUAAAAAAGCUUGAGGAAGGUGGCUUGAGAUUCGUCUUAAGUGUUUAUAGCCUCUUGCCUAUGCAGUCGGAGAGAUUGAGGUCUGCAGCGUAGAUCCUUCGGGGCUAAAUGCAUUUGUGCUAAGUUAUAGCAUUUUAUAGACAACUUGUUGACUAUGAUUUGUCUUGUAGCUUACUCGCUUAUGUUAUUUUACCUACGCUUAGGAUGUUGAUCUCUCACAGUCGAGC
Molecule: ribosomal RNA, 772 nt
Filed under: uncultured Neocallimastigales
Lineage: Eukaryota; Fungi; Neocallimastigomycota; Neocallimastigomycetes; Neocallimastigales
Description: partial large subunit ribosomal RNA
Rfam family: Eukaryotic large subunit ribosomal RNA
Source: RNAcentral